UAAGUCUAAUCUAAUUUUUUAUUUUUUACUAUAAAAAUUUAAAAUGUAUAAAUAACUUUUAAAUAGUUUAGACUGUUUGUAUUAAAUAUAAAUUUUAAUUUUAUACUAUUAAGCAUUUAGAUAUAGAUUGUACAUUAAAAAAUAAAAAAAAGAUUGAUGGCGUUUAAGUUAAUUUUAUAUUUUAUAAAAUUUAGUUGCGAGAAUCAUAUAAAAUAUACUAUCUAAAUCUGUAAAACUGAGUGAUACAUUCGGAUUUUUAAAAUCAAAAUACCAUUGACUGACACAAGUUAAUAUAUCGAAAAAUUGAAUAAUCAAAAUAAAAUUUUGAAAGAUUGGAUUUACACAUUUCGUUCUUCAAGCUACAAGACGAGUGACACUUUAAUUUUCGAACUUUAAUAUGUUAUGAUUUAAACUAUGAAGCAUAUAACACUUUUAUUCUCGAACUUUAAUCGGUUACAAUUUUUGACUUACAAUAUAAAGUAUAUUAGUUUAGUUCUCAAUAUUUAUUGCUGCUAUAAAUAUCAUUUAUUAUUCGUCUGAUUUUCACCCUUAUUUUUUUAAUCCUUUUUAUAAUUUAUUCUUAUAUUUUUAUUGCAACAAUAAUUGCUUAUUCUUCACUUAUUUAUUUUUAUGGAAUCGUCCCAC
Molecule: long non-coding RNA, 645 nt
Filed under: Ananas comosus (pineapple)
Lineage: Eukaryota; Viridiplantae; Streptophyta; Magnoliopsida; Poales; Bromeliaceae
Description: long non-coding RNA (ACOM_LNC039984)
Source: RNAcentral